AUUGAACGCUGGCGGCAUGCCUUACACAUGCAAGUCGAACCGCAGCACGGGUGCUUGCACCUGGUGGCGAGUGGCGAACGGGUGAGUAAUACAUCGGAACAUGUCCUGUAGUGGGGGAUAGCCCGGCGAAAGCCGGAUUAAUACCGCAUACGAUCUACGGAUGAAAGCGGGGGACCUUCGGGCCUCGCGCUAUAGGGUUGGCCGAUGGCUGAUUAGCUAGUUGGUGGGGUAAAGGCCUACCAAGGCGACGAUCAGCAGCUGGUCUGAGAGGACGACCAGCCACACUGGGACUGAGACACGGCCCAGACUCCUACGGGAGGCAGCAGUGGGGAAUUUUGGACAAUGGGCGAAAGCCUGAUCCAGCAAUGCCGCGUGUGUGAAGAAGGCCUUCGGGUUGUAAAGCACUUUUGUCCGGAAAGAAAUCCUUGGCCCUAAUACGGUCGGGGGAUGACGGUACCGGAAGAAUAAGCACCGGCUAACUACGUG
This 486-nucleotide ribosomal RNA is filed under the name uncultured bacterium. Its description in RNAcentral is "partial 16S ribosomal RNA". It matches the Rfam family "Bacterial small subunit ribosomal RNA", at positions 30 to 507 of the family's 1533-position model. The record is from RNAcentral.